AGACUACUCCAUAAACUGAGCUAAGCAGCGUGGGGCUUGAGAGGCUGAGUCCGACUUUGAAAGAAGUUCUAAUGUGGGGAAAACGCAAUCAGCAUUGCAUGCUACAGAGAAAUCGUGCAUGACAGGAAGAGUUAAUCGAUUUGGUAGCCUUCGUCGUGGUCUUAUUUUAAGAAAUUGCCACAGCCAGCCCAGCCUUCAGCAGCCCCCACCCUGAUCCAUCAGCAGCAUCAAUGUGCAGGCAGGACCCUCCACCAGCAAAAAGACUGUGACUCACUAAAGCCUCAGAUGAUUGUUCAACCUCUUUAGCAAGAAAAUAUUUUUUAAAAUUAAGCUAAACCACGUUGAAAGAACAAAUGUGAGGCGCAUCAGGCUGCGUUAAAAGUGCCCUGGAUUUACCGACUCUGUUGGAAAAAUGUUUCUCAACGACGCGAAGUCAUCAGGCAAAAUCCUUAGCUCUCCUUUUGCAAAGUAAACAAUCUCCCCACGUAAAUCACACUCACAGCAUAGGGAUUAUGAAGUAUAAAUAGAAUUUCAUGGUGUUUGCAGUGGCUCUGAAAUACCGGUGUACAAAAGUAGGCUGGCACGCAGUGCCCUUCCGUUUAGCAGUUGGAAGUGAGACCAGCAGGGGUGGUAGGUAUUGGAAUCAGGUCUGGACAGCAGAGCUUGUACAGCAGGCGUCUUGUGUUUAGGAUCUGAAACGCAGUGAGCCGAGCCACGCGCCCUGCCCAGGGUGACGCUCACCCUCUGCCGUCACAGGUCUUGUCGCCAGAGAGGGCGCCGCAGCUGCUCACAGUCACCUUCAGGAUGAAGGCGACACUGGCGCGGUUUCACGCGAAGGGCAGGCUGUUGGCUUGGCCCUGGGAAGUGCAGGCCUGGUGUGGCAGCUCCAAUGCCUGGCCAGAAAUGCAACUGCGUUUUGCAUGAAAAGGAUUUUUAUCAAAGCGCAUUCAUGGAACAGUGUUACUCUGAUGGUUGUUUGGCUUCUGAUUUCAGCCUUUUUCAUUCACUUCAAAGACGUUUUUUAAAAAUGUGCCUGGACUUUGUACCCAGAGGCAGACAAGCCGCAGAGACCAGCUCUGCAAGAGGCACCCGCGUGGUGCCAGGCACGUGGAGGUGCUCGGUCCUGUAGCCGUUCCUCUGUGGGAGACGAGGGCAGCUGUGCCGUGGUCUCUAGACUCGGUGCCAGGCUGACCUUCCAUUUCAGACAAGUGUCAGUUUCACCCCUGACGUGUCGUGGGUGGAGGUGACAUCCACGCGCUUGCUGGACUCCACGAGCGCGUCUCUCCGAAGCGUGGGCCCGGCCCCCGCCUUGGUCCAGACGCCCCCCGUUCUUGUUCCCUUCCAUCCUUGCUCGCCGUCGCCCGGUCUGGCCUCUGCCCCGGGCCUGCCCUGGCGGGGCUGCUGGCCCAGGCCUUCCUUCCUCGGUACCCGCGUAGCAGUUGGCCCGUGGGCAGACCCUUCAACUUAGAGGUCCGUCUCGGUUUCCGUGGCAGCGCAGGCCGGUUUCUCCCCUCCUCCGAAGGUCCUUCCUCCUCCGUGCGACGCGGCCGUGUCUGUCCUCAGCUUCCUCCUGGGUCCGCGCGGUGCUCUGGGCGGCCGCACCCACCUCUAGACGGCAGCCGCCAGGCACGUUCCUGCCGCCCGCGCCCAGGCGGCUUCUCUGGCGGCAAGGGCUCGAGGUCCUCUCCACACCCAGACCCGUGUUCACAUCCACACCCGGCUGACGUGCAGACGCCUCAAGCUCACGCGUUCACGACGGCGCUCACGGCCCCACCGGGCCCACGCGCUCUCCCCUCGGCGUCCUGGGCCCUCGUCUGCCGCCUCUUCCUCUGGCCCAGAGCUCCCUGCGUACAGUUCCAUUAAAAGGCUUGUCUUUGUUCUCGG
This 1884-nucleotide long non-coding RNA is filed under the name Sus scrofa (pig). RNAcentral's name for it is "lncRNA (ENSSSCG00000051057.2)". The record is from RNAcentral. Lineage: Eukaryota; Metazoa; Chordata; Mammalia; Artiodactyla; Suidae.